AUUGAACGCUGGCGGAAUGCUUUACACAUGCAAGUCGAACGGCAGCACGGGGCAACCUGGUGGCGAGUGGCGAACGGGUGAGUAAUACAUCGGAACGUGCCCAAUCGUGGGGGAUAACGUAGCGAAAGUUACGCUAAUACCGCAUACGAUCUACGGAUGAAAGCGGGGGAUCGCAAGACCUCGCGCGAAUGGAGCGGCCGAUGUCAGAUUAGGUAGUUGGUGGGGUAAAGGCUCACCAAGCCAACGAUCUGUAGCUGGUCUGAGAGGACGACCAGCCACACUGGAACUGAGACACGGUCCAGACUCCUACGGGAGGCAGCAGUGGGGAAGUUUUGGUACAAUGGGCGCAAGCCUGAUCCAGCCAUUCCGCGUGCAGGAUGAAGGCCUCGGUUGUAAC
Molecule: ribosomal RNA, 397 nt
Filed under: uncultured bacterium
Lineage: Bacteria
Description: bacterial SSU rRNA
Rfam family: Bacterial small subunit ribosomal RNA
Source: RNAcentral